Molecule: ribosomal RNA, 253 nt
Filed under: uncultured bacterium
Lineage: Bacteria
Description: partial 16S ribosomal RNA
Rfam family: Bacterial small subunit ribosomal RNA
Source: RNAcentral
UACGUAGGGUGCGAGCGUUGUCCGGAAUUAUUGGGCGUAAAGGGCUCGUAGGCGGUUUGUCGCGUCGGGAGUGAAAACUCAGGGCUUAACCCUGAGCCUGCUUCCGAUACGGGCAGACUAGAGGUAUGCAGGGGAGAACGGAAUUCCUGGUGUAGCGGUGAAAUGCGCAGAUAUCAGGAGGAACAACGGUGGCGAAGGCGGUUCUCUGGGCAUGAUCUGACGCUGAGGAGCGAAAGUGUGGGGAGCGAACAGG